UUGCAUGCGGCAGCUAUAAUGCAGUCGAACGAAACUUUCUUACACCGAAUGCUUGCAUUCACCGUAAGAAGUUGAGUGGCGGACGGGUGAGUAACACGUGGGUAACCUGCCUAAAAGAAGGGGAUAACACUUGGAAACAGGUGCUAAUACCGUAUAUCUCUAAGGAUCGCAUGAUCCUUAGAUGAAAGAUGGUUCUGCUAUCGCUUUUAGAUGGACCCGCGGCGUAUUAACUAGUUGGUGGGGUAACGGCCUACCAAGGUGAUGAUACGUAGCCGAACUGAGAGGUUGAUCGGCCACAUUGGGACUGAGACACGGCCCAAACUCCUACGGGAGGCAGCAGUAGGGAAUCUUCCACAAUGGACGCAAGUCUGAUGGAGCAACGCCGCGUGAGUGAAGAAGGUCUUCGGAUCGUAAAACUCUGUUGUUAGAGAAGAACACGAGUGAGAGUAACUGUUCAUUCGAUGACGGUAUCUAACCAGCAAGUCACGGCUAACUACGUGCCAGCAGCCGCGGUAAUACGUAGGUGGCAAGCGUUGUCCGGAUUUAUUGGGCGUAAAGGGAACGCAGGCGGUCUUUUAAGUCUGAUGUGAAAGCCUUCGGCUUAACCGGAGUAGUGCAUUGGAAACUGGAAGACUUGAGUGCAGAAGAGGAGAGUGGAACUCCAUGUGUAGCGGUGAAAUGCGUAGAUAUAUGGAAGAACACCAGUGGCGAAAGCGGCUCUCUGGUCUGUAACUGACGCUGAGGUUCGAAAGCGUGGGUAGCAAACAGGAUUAGAUACCCUGGUAGUCCACGCCGUAAACGAUGAAUGCUAGGUGUUGGAGGGUUUCCGCCCUUCAGUGCCGCAGCUAACGCAAUAAGCAUUCCGCCUGGGGAGUACGACCGCAAGGUUGAAACUCAAAGGAAUUGACGGGGGCCCGCACAAGCGGUGAGCAUGUGGUUUAAUUCGAAGCAACGCGAAGAACCUUACCAGGUCUUGACAUCCUUUGACCACCUAGAGAUUAGCUUUCCCUUCGGGACAAAGUGAAAGGUGGUGCAUGCUGUUCGUCAGCUCGUGUCGUGAGAUGUGGUAGUCCCGCAACGGAGCGCAACGUGAUGUCAGUGCAGCAUAGCUGGCCACUCUGCCGGACUGCGUACAACGAGAGUGGUACGACGUCAGUCCUCAUGCUUAGACUGGCUACACGUCUAAUGGAACGUUACACAGAGAGUCA
RNAcentral lists this ribosomal RNA (1208 nucleotides) under Ligilactobacillus salivarius. RNAcentral describes it as "bacterial SSU rRNA". It matches the Rfam family "Bacterial small subunit ribosomal RNA", at positions 33 to 1251 of the family's 1533-position model. Lineage: Bacteria; Bacillati; Bacillota; Bacilli; Lactobacillales; Lactobacillaceae. The record is from RNAcentral.